Small nucleolar RNA from Coffea eugenioides, 111 nucleotides. RefSeq annotates it as small nucleolar RNA Z279/snoR105/snoR108. NCBI's taxonomy places the organism in Eukaryota, Viridiplantae, Streptophyta, Magnoliopsida, Gentianales, Rubiaceae. The transcript has a single exon. The record is from RefSeq and is a predicted model, not a curated record.
GGGAUGUGAUGAGUGGUCAAAGCUCGUAUUUAAACAUGCGAGAGGGAUGCCCGGCCCAAAGCCCGGUUACAACAACCCGACACUCCCUUUUUUUUUCACCAAUUUGAUCCC